GACAGAGGCCCCAAGCGUUAGGCGGAAUCACUGGGCUUAAAGCGUGUGUAGGCGGAUCGUUAAGUGUCUUGUGAAAUCCCACGGCUCACCCGUGGAACUGCUGGGCAUACUGGCGAUCUUGGGCCAACUAGGGGCAGCCGGAACAAGCGGUGGAGCGGUGAAAUGCGUAGAUAUCGCUUGGAACGCCGAAGGUGAAAACAGACUGCUGGGGUUGCGCCGACGCUGAGACACGAAAGCCAGGGGAGCAAACGGG
RNAcentral lists this ribosomal RNA (253 nucleotides) under uncultured bacterium. RNAcentral's name for it is "partial 16S ribosomal RNA". It matches the Rfam family "Bacterial small subunit ribosomal RNA", at positions 524 to 776 of the family's 1533-position model. The record is from RNAcentral.